UAGAGUUUGAUCCUGGCUCAGAUUGAACGCUGGCGGCAUGCUUUACACAUGCAAGUCGAACGGCAGCGGGGGCUUCGGCCUGCCGGCGAGUGGCGAACGGGUGAGUAAUGCAUCGGAACGUGCCCAUGUCGUGGGGGAUAACGUAGCGAAAGCUACGCUAAUACCGCAUACGUCCUGAGGGAGAAAGCGGGGGAUCUUCGGACCUCGCGCGAUUGGAGCGGCCGAUGUCGGAUUAGCUAGUUGGUGGGGUAAAGGCCCACCAAGGCGACGAUCCGUAGCGGGUCUGAGAGGAUGAUCCGCCACACUGGGACUGAGACACGGCCCAGACUCCUACGGGAGGCAGCAGUGGGGAAUUUUGGACAAUGGGCGCAAGCCUGAUCCAGCCAUGCCGCGUGAGUGAAGAAGGCCUUCGGGUUGUAAAGCUCUUUCGGCCGGGAAGAAAUCGUGUUCUCUAACAUAGGACAUGGAUGACGGUACCGGACUAAGAAGCACCGGCUAACUACGUGCCAGCAGCCGCGGUAAUACGUAGGGUGCGAGCGUUAAUCGGAAUUACUGGGCGUAAAGCGUGCGCAGGCGGUUUGCUAAGACG
RNAcentral lists this ribosomal RNA (589 nucleotides) under uncultured beta proteobacterium. RNAcentral describes it as "bacterial SSU rRNA". It matches the Rfam family "Bacterial small subunit ribosomal RNA", at positions 1 to 590 of the family's 1533-position model. The record is from RNAcentral. Lineage: Bacteria; Pseudomonadati; Pseudomonadota; Betaproteobacteria.